CUUGUUUCAUCGAUUCUGCCUUUUUUUCUGAAAUCAAUAUCUGUAUUUUGGUUAAUAUUUUCAAAAAAAAUAUCUGUAUUUUGGUUUUAAUCACUGUAGUGAAUUUUCUUUGCUUCCAGGAUACACAACAUGGCUUUCUUAAGUAAAGUUGGAAGGAUAUUUAGGCAGACUAGCAAUUAUGUCACUGUCUCUAACUCGAUUCUACAGAGCAUCUCUUCUUCAAAAAUCUUUGUUGGAGGUAUCUCGUACAGCACUGAUAGUUUGGCUUGAGAGAAGCUUUUAGAAAAUAUGGACAAGUUGUUGAUGCCAAAAUUAUUGUGGACCGUGAAACUGGUAGAUCGAGGGGUUUUGCUUUCGUGACAUUUACUUCUAACCAGGAGGCUACUAAUGCCAUGCAGUUGGAUAGACAGCACCUUCAUGGUCGAAGAAUUAGGGUGAAUUUCGCUACUGAAAGAGGAAGUGGAUUUGGAGGAAGGGGGUUCCGUGGUCCAAGUGGUGGUGCUACUUUUUAUGAUGAUCCUCUACCCUGUGGUUACGUUUACGAUUUUUCUGUUUGGUGCCAUUGACAAUCUGGCAGUUUGGUGGUUCAGAGAACGAGAGCUUAAUCCCUCCAUAAUGUUGCAGUUUGAGAAUAAACAUAUGGAAGUUUCUUAAUUUUUUAUGUUUUUAACGUUUGUGGUUUGUUUAUCAUCGAGAAUUCUACCUCUAUAUAGAUUGGGUUAUCGCAUGUGAUUCCGCUAAAAACGGUUAGUUUCUCAGCGAAAUAUCAAGAUUCCGCCCCGUGACUCUGAUCAAUGA
Long non-coding RNA from Brassica oleracea var. oleracea, 798 nucleotides. RefSeq lists it as uncharacterized. Lineage: Eukaryota; Viridiplantae; Streptophyta; Magnoliopsida; Brassicales; Brassicaceae. The record is from RefSeq and is a predicted model, not a curated record. The transcript is spliced from 4 exons.